UACUCUGAUUCUGGUGUAAUAAUCAAGGACUUUGCUGCUGUAACAUGGCUGCAAGAGGCACAAUGAUAUUACGCAGUUCCUGAAAAUAGUCCCCUUAGUAACUUCAAUAGCAGGGCACUAUUUUCGGGCACUGCUUAAUAUCAUUGGACAAUGGGGUUGGUUAUUACCCAAAACGCUGUUUCAUGUAAAUGAAUACCCAAAAUGCAUAAAAGUCUACAGGCCAUGUUUGACUGCCUUUUAAGGUUGUCAUUAGACUUUACAAAAGAAACCAGAGAAAGACAGAUUGUUGUCAUGAGGAAAUGCCAGUCGAUCAGCAGUACUCAACCACAGUCAUUUAGGAACUAAACUGGCAAAAGAUGUUGUGUUUGAAAGGAUUACGUAAAAAAUUUUAUCUUGAAACUUGACACAUACUGAAGUUCCCAAUUCUGUCUGAAUGUACAAUCCUCAAUCAUUUCUUUGCUUCAUUUUCAUAUCUUUGUUUUACUGACUUUUUGACUUUUAAGACCAUUUUUAGGUGAAAUCAGUUUGGUCAUCACCACUCGAAGUACAAGCAAGUCAGCAAAGUGAAUUACAGUAAUAUAGAAGGACCUGGUAGGGUUUGAACUGAGCGGUUGAAUCUGAAUGGCUUUGCAAAUUUGGUGAGAACUGAUGAUAUCUCCCUGACAAAAACAUAAACCAGAGACGGCUGAGGCAAGGAACCAAAUCUUCACAAAGAGUCUGACAAAUAAACAUAUGGUCACCUUACAGGGUAGGCUUUCUCACAGGAAAAAGACACUGUAUCCUCUUACCACCGGAUUUGUGUUCUAUUUACUGAACUAUCCACCUGCUUUUUUUAGGCACAGCUUUGGCUAUAAAACAAGUGAAUUACAAGAAUUCUAAUCUUAUGCAUUAAAGCCUUGGUAUACAUUA
This is a non-coding RNA of Misgurnus anguillicaudatus (oriental weatherfish), 909 nucleotides long. NCBI's taxonomy places the organism in Eukaryota, Metazoa, Chordata, Actinopteri, Cypriniformes, Cobitidae. The record is from RefSeq and is a predicted model, not a curated record.